This 415-nucleotide ribosomal RNA is filed under the name uncultured bacterium. Its description in RNAcentral is "bacterial SSU rRNA". It matches the Rfam family "Bacterial small subunit ribosomal RNA", at positions 355 to 767 of the family's 1533-position model. The record is from RNAcentral.
UAAGGAAUAUUGGUCAAUGGACGCAAGUCUGAACCAGCCAUGCCGCGUGGAGGAUGAAGGUCCUCUGGAUUGUAAACUUCUUUUAUCUGGGACGAAACACUCCUAUUCUUAGGGGCCUGACGGUACCAGAUGAAUAAGCACCGGCUAACUCCGUGCCAGCAGCCGCGGUAAUACGGAGGGUGCAAGCGUUAUCCGGAUUCACUGGGUUUAAAGGGUGCGUAGGUGGGUAUGUAAGUCAGUGGUGAAAUCCCCGAGCUUAACUUGGGAACUGCCGUUGAUACUAUAUAUCUUGAAUGCCGUAGAGGUAAACGGAAUAUGUCAUGUAGCGGUGAAAUGCUUAGAGAUGACAUAGAACACCAAUUGCGAAGGCAGCUUACUAUGCGGUGAUUGACACUGAUGCACGAAAGCGUGGGUA